CCUACGGGAGGCAGCAGUGGGGAAUAUUGCGCAAUGGGCGAAAGCCUGACGCAGCGACGCCGCGUGAGGGAUGACGGCCUUCGGGUUGUAAACCUCUUUCAGCUCUGACGAAGCGAGAGUGACGGUAGGAGCAGAAGAAGCACCGGCCAACUACGUGCCAGCAGCCGCGGUAAUACGUAGGGUGCAAGCGUUGUCCGGAAUUAUUGGGCGUAAAGAGCUCGUAGGCGGUCUGUCGCGUCGAAUGUGAAAACCCGGGGCUCAACCCCGGGCCUGCAUUCGAUACGGGCAGACUAGAGUUCGGUAGGGGAGUCUGGAAUUCCUGGUGUAGCGGUGAAAUGCGCAGAUAUCAGGAGGAACACCGGUGGCGAAGGCGGGACUCUGGGCCGAUACUGACGCUGAGGAGCGAAAGCGUGGGGAGCGAACAGGAUUAGAUACCCUGGUAGUCCACGCCGUAAACGUUGGGCGCUAGGUGUGGGGGUCCUUCCACGACCUCCGUGCCGCNGCUACGCAUAGCGCCCGCCGUCGGGAGGUACGGCCGGCGACGGACGUAAACCGUUAAACGGUAAAGUUAGUAACGGUCGUGAGACGUGCCGAACGGACGACGACGAGGGAGGAGG
RNAcentral lists this ribosomal RNA (617 nucleotides) under uncultured bacterium. Its description in RNAcentral is "bacterial SSU rRNA". The stretch from base 1 to 521 matches the Rfam family "Bacterial small subunit ribosomal RNA", at positions 338 to 873 of the family's 1533-position model. The record is from RNAcentral.